Molecule: ribosomal RNA, 468 nt
Filed under: uncultured bacterium
Lineage: Bacteria
Description: partial 16S ribosomal RNA
Rfam family: Bacterial small subunit ribosomal RNA
Source: RNAcentral
GACGAACGCUGGCGGCGUGCUUAACACAUGCAAGUCGAACGGUGAAGCUCCAGCUUGCUGGAGUGGAUCAGUGGCGAACGGGUGAGUAACACGUGAGCAACCUUCCCCUGACUCUGGAAUAAGCGCUGGAAACGGCGUCUAAUACUGGAUACGAGAAGGGUCUGCAUGGGCACUUUCUGGAAAGUUCUUCGGUUGGGGAUGGGCUCGCGGCCUAUCAGCUUGUUGGUGAGGUAAUGGCUCACCAAGGCGACGACGGGUAGCCGGCCUGAGAGGGCGACCGGCCACACUGGGACUGAGACACGGCCCAGACUCCUACGGGAGGCAGCAGUGGGGAAUAUUGCACAAUGGGCGAAAGCCUGAUGCAGCGACGCCGCGUGAGGGAUGACGGCCUUCGGGUUGUAAACCUCUUUCAGCAGGGAAGAAGCGAAAGUGACGGUACCUGCAGAAGAAGCACCGGCUAACUACGUG